GACGAACGCUGGCGGCGUGCUUAACACAUGCAAGUCGAACGAUGAAGCCCAGCUUGCUGGGUGGAUUAGUGGCGAAAGGGUGAGUAACACGUGAGCAUCGUGCCCGAGACUCUGGAAUAACUACUGAAAACGGUGGCUCAUACUGGAUAUGUGCCAGGGUGCCAUCUCCUCUGGCUGGAAAGAUUUUUCGGUUUCGGAUUGGCUCACGGCCUAUCAGCUUGUUGGUGGGGUUAUGGCCUACCAAGGCGACGACGGGUAGCCGGCCUGAGAGGGUGACCGGCCACACUGGGACUGAGACACGGCCCAGACUCCUACGGGAGGCAGCAGUGGGGAAUAUUGCACAAUGGGCGCAAGCCUGAUGCAGCAACGCCGCGUGAGGGAUGACGGCCUUCGGGUUGUAAACCUCUUUUAGUAGUGAAGAAGCGCAAGUGACGGUACCGGCAGAAAAAGCACCGGCUAACUACGUG
This 467-nucleotide ribosomal RNA is filed under the name uncultured bacterium. Its description in RNAcentral is "partial 16S ribosomal RNA". It matches the Rfam family "Bacterial small subunit ribosomal RNA", at positions 28 to 507 of the family's 1533-position model. The record is from RNAcentral.